AUAUUGUACCAUACAAUCUUGUCUUGCACAUUACAUCACACUACAUCAUCCAACAAAGUCAAACAUACAAUCUUGUCUUGCAUAGUACAUUAUCCAACACAAGCUUACAUGAAUGUACACCAAGCAAUAUAUAGUAGUUUGUGUUUGAUAUAUAAUACUAAGGUUGGUGCACACAAUAGAAAAUGAAAAACCAAAAGCACGUCCACCAGGUUGUGGAGAACCAUUUUCCAUGAACUUAAGCCAAACACUUGUUGUGCCUAGCACUUCCUGAAAAAUAUAACAUGUAAUUAGGCAAGUGGAGAAAAUAAUAAAAAGUUGUUGUACAAUAGUAGUGUACUACUAGUGUGUGAGUACGAUCAUCUGUUAAAAAGAAUAUCUCUUCUACUUGCUAGCUAAAUUCUGCUUGCUAGGUUGAGUUGGAGAAAAUAAUAUAAAGCUAUUGUAUAAUAGUAGUGUACUACUGGUGUGUGAGUAGGAUCAUCUUUAAAAGAUUCUCUCUUCUACUUGCUAACUAAAUUCUGCUUGCUAGGUUGAGUCACUUGCUAGGUUGAGGCAGUGGGUUGCCAUGGGCAUAACUCUUCUUGUUUUCAGAAUCAUUCAACAAUUCCAUUUGCCUCAUCCUAGGGAGCACUAGAGAAUUAGUAAAUUUACCACUAGGGAGCACGUAUACUUCUUAUUAGUGGCAAGAUGACUAAAAUAAUUAGGUGCAGAUCAGUCGAGUGCAAAGGCCUCUACCUAGCAGCAUUGUCAUGUUUUUUUAUGAACAUAGCAGCACUGUCAUGUGACAAACAAGAUGACUAAGGCCUAGAAAAAAUGGGCUACUGUUACAUACUAAAUAUCUAACCAGAAACUUUCUUGGCUGGUCAAAACCUUCCACAUUUUUAUAGUAGUACAACAGUAAGUUAAAUCAUUACUUGAGGAUUGUCACUAGGUGCUGAAUUUAGUCAGUAGGUUUUACAGGUGGUCAAGGGACAUACCUGUAGUGCCCUUGAGAGGUGUGCUUGAUGCCUUUUUGUCUUCCCUCUUCUUGCAUUCCUUUAUCUAUCACAUAUAGGAUUAAUUGGAAACAUUGGUCAUGCAUCAGAGGUCGUGGAAAUGAAAAUUCUAUCAAGUCUAGUUUAUUACUUUAUUGAAUGGACUGUCCUCCUACAAUAGUGCUUGGAGUAGUUGAAAGGAUUGUCCCCCUAGCCACUGGUAACUCAGAUCUCAAUAUAGCAUAUAAUAUAACAUCCUUUUUAACCUGAAAUAAAUGAUGCGCCCUAAGAAUGUUAGAACAAGACAUGUAUAUGAGCUACAAAUUUCACUCAAGGGUGGUUGGCUCCAUGAGCUAUAAGACUGGCACUCAGCGCUACAAAUUUCAGAAGCAUUCACUACUCUGAAGGUAAUUAUCUUAUCUAAUUGACUAAUUAUCUUUUAUUUAUCAAUGGAAAUAUUUUUUUUCUUACUAAUUGCUGUGCAUAGUGCAAGGUGAUGCCUACUUGCCUGCAAUUUGGCAUUGUCUGGAUGGAUAUGUAUAUUGACAGACCUGUACCUUAUUAAAUCCAGUUUCUAGAAAAUGCAUUAAUGUCCGAGAGCUCCUAUAUCAGUUGUCCUAAUAUCAUUGUACUUGUAUUAACUCUGCUAUCGAACUUGUAGAUCGGUAAUUAUAAUCGAGGAUAUCAGGAAAUGUCAACACAUUGUUUUGAGAGACUAUGCAAGGAUCUUUGACAUCUGGUACCAUGCUAACUUCCUUUGUACACGUGUUCAAUCAAAUUCUUUAGUGCACUAUCUUGAAGUGUAGUGGACUUUUUAUUCUAUAACUGUUUGCAGAUUGCAAUAUGACUAUUUACAUGUAUGCAGUGCUGACUAUAAUCAACUAUAUAUGCACAGCUAAGCCUUAGUAUGCUAACAAUUUUCUGAUUUUAUUUUUCAACUGCGCAGGUUGCUAAAAAUUCAGUUCACCAUUUCACUGUCCAAAAAAUGAUGAUUCAAUUCGAUUCACCAUUUCACUCUUCAGGAAAUAGUUAGAUUUCCUUAUUUCUUCAGUACUUAUAUAAACUUAACACACUUGCCUGAUAUGGCACUUACUAUUUAGCAAAUUUUGUACUUUGAUCACUUGGAAGGCAUUCAAAAUUUCACAAGAAUCCUCUGUCGAGUAUCACUACUAUAAUGUGAUUGGUACUAAGUGGUUCUUUAGAAACAAGCAAGAUCAAGAUGGUGUAGUUGUGAGAAACAAAGCAAGAUUAGUAGCACAAGGGUACACUCAAGUUGAAGGUCUUAACUUUAGAGAAACAUAUGCACCGGUUGCAAGAUUGGAGGCAAUUAGAAUAUUAUUAGCCUAUGCUUAUGCCCAUGACAUUAAGUUCUAUCAAAUGGAUGUGAAGAGUGCAUUUCUUAAUUGAUACAUCAAUGAGUUUUUUUAUGUUGAACAACCUCCCGGUUUUGAAGAUGACAAGAAACCCAACCAUGUUUACAAGGUCAAGAAGGCAUUGUAUGGUUUGAAGCAAGCACCUAUAGCUUGGUAUGAGAGAUUGAGAGAUUUCCUUCUCUCUAAAGGGUUCAAGAUGGAAAAAGUUGACAUUACCCUCUUCGCCAAGAAGCUAGGCAAUGACUUGUUUGUGUUGCAAAUCUAUGUUGAUGAUAUCUUCUUUGGAUCAACCAAUCAAGACUUUUGUGAAGAGUUUGGAAAAAUGAUGGCAAAUGAGUUUGAGAUGUCCAUGAUAGGAGAGCUUAGUUACUUCCUUAGACUUCAAAUCAAGCAAAUGAAGGAUGGCACUUUUGUGAGUCAAGGAAAAUACAUCAAGGACAUGAUCAAGAAGUUUGGGUUGCAUGAAGCUAAACCAAUGAGCACCUAUGGGCACAAAUGAUCAAUUAGGUAGUGAUGCAAGUGGCAACAUGGUAGAUCAAAAGCUAUACCGGUCUAUGAUUGGAAGUUUGCUCUAUGUCACCGCUUCUAGGCCGGAUGUAAUGUUUAGUGUGUGCAAAUGUGCAAGAUACCAAGCUUCACCUAGAGAAAGUCACUUGAAGGCAACCAAAAGAAUAUUAAGGUCUCUUAAGGGCACUCAUGAUGUUGGAUUAUGGUAUCCCAAGGGGUCUAACUUUGAGUUGAUUGGAUAUUGGGACUCCGAUUAUGGUGGAUGCAAGAUUGAUAGAAUGAGCACAAGUGGCACUUGUCAAUUGCUAGGAAGGUCUCUAGUUUCAUGGUCAUCAAAGAAACAAAAUAGUGUUGCACUAUCAACCACCGAGGCUGAAUACAUUAGUGCCCGUAGUUGUUGUGCACAAUUGCUUUGGAUGAAAGCUACCUUGAAUGACUUUGGAAUCAAAUUCAAGAAUGUGCCUUUGCUAUGUAACAAUGAGAGUGCAAUCAAGAUGACACAAAAUCCGGUUCAACAUUCUAGAACCAAGCACAUUGACAUAAGGCACCAUUUCAUAAGGGACCAUCAACAAAAGGGUGAUAUUAGCAUUGAAAGCAUUGGCACCGAAUGUCAACUCGCCAACAUCUUCACAAAGCCACUUGAUGAGAAGAGAUUUUGCAAGUUGAGAAAUGAAUUGAACAUACUUGACUUCUCCAACUUAAAAUGAGUGCACCCCCACAUUUACAAAUGACAUGCCUCUCCUCCAACAAAGCAAGGUAAAGUUGGUUGACAUAGCAUUCAUGCUUUGCUAAGGACAUGUUUAGAACAUAUAGACAUGCUUACAUGACAAUAGGCUCAUUCAUGAAAAUCAAAAGGAUUUGAUGUAUGUAUGGUACCACUAUUGUCUCUAUGGUUGUUUGAUCUAGUGGUAGCAUAUGACAUGUUUGUGAGCUUGCAAACCUAGUGUUGAAUCUAGAAUAUGAGCUUAUGAUGUGUAAUUCAACAUGGUCAAGAUAACCCUUAUACUUCAUGAGGUGUGAAAAAGCUUGUCCUUGGAUCAAACCAAAUUACAUGUUCUAGGCAAGUAAUCUAGAUUGAACCAUAAUUUGACCCUCACAUUGAUUGACUUAAUUCUCACUAAAAUUUGAACCUUUGUGGUCAUUGAUGACAAAGGGGGAGAGAAACAAAGAUAAAGUCAAAAAGGGGGAGAGAAACAAAAAAAACAAGGGGAGAAAAUUUUUUUAAACUUGAGCACACAAAUAGGGGGAGCAAGCUCAUGAACCAUUUGUUGCAUUUUGAAUGUGCACUAACAUAAUGAGGUGUUGCAAUGCAAGUUUAAAUAUACUACUCUUAUUUGAUUGGUGUUUGCUAGAAAUAGAACUUAAAUGAUGCUUUGAAUUCUAGCAUAGAGUUUUAUUUUCAUGUGGUAUCUAGACAUAUAAUGUGAUCUCACGAGGUAUCUUGAGUUUUUGAUGUAUGUCUAGCUACAUUGGUGCUAAGGAUGGUAUAUUGGCAACUCUGAUUGGUAUCAUGCUUCAAAGGUCCAUUCUAUAUACCUUAGCAUCAUUUUGGUAGUAGUAAAUCUCACAAAACUCUAAUUCAUGCAUAUGUGCAAACUUGAACCAAACUCAUGGAAGCACAUAUGUAAGGGGAGCUAGUACAACCAAAACCGAAAUUGAAAUGAUUGUCGAACCUUGUCUCAUGAUUAAAAUGCUUUGGACAAGCAAUUUAAGUUCAUUAUGAUUUCAUUUCAUAUCUUUGUGAUGGUUGUCAUCAAUACCAAAAAGGGGGAGAUUGAAAGCCCAAGUUUGGUUUUGGUAAUUAAUGACACCAAGUUGCUAAUGCCUUGUGUUUAAAUGAUUUGAGUUAGGCAUAGCAACACAUGUGAUGAAGGUUCAUGGUGGCAUGGAAAGGUGGCCACAUGAUCACAAAGGGAUCAAGCAUGAAGUGAAGAUCAUGGUGAUAGACGAGGAGCAAAGUUAUCAAGGCAAAGGUAUAAACAUAGGGUUUUACUUUUGCCGGUCUAAGAUGAGUAGAGAAGUCAUUGAUCGGGUUUAGGAUAGAUAGCCGACUAUCAAGAGGGGAAAUCACGGUCAUCUCUCGAAUCAAGUGCUACUAGGUCCAUAUCUUGAGCAUAUGCAUUAGGAUCUAGUAAAGUGCUAACCUAACUCCUUUGGGAAAAUGUUUGUGAAAAGCUAACACACAUGCACUUUGAUGGUGGACACUUGUUGGUGUUAGCACAUUUGCAAAGGAGGUGGAGUUCCUAGGGUAGAGAGGGGUUUAGGUUCCUCUCUCCCUCCCACCGAGCUUGCGAGGCGGGAUUCAGCGCUUUUGAGAAAAUUAAGUUUAUAUUUUCUAUUGCGUCGGUGGGAAAUUUGGAGAAGUUGCGGAACCGGACGCAGGGUGCGGAGGCACCGGACGCUGGCCUCAGCGUCCGGUGUGCUGUCAGUGCUUGACCCUGCUAGGGUUGAGCACCGGACACACUGCACCGGACGUAGGGUGUUCCCUGUUCAUGCGUCCGGUGUGGCUUGUCUUAAACAGAGGGUAUCUGUCUGAGAGCACCGGACGUUCUGAGUGUGUCCGGUGGUGUGCGUUCGGUGUGAGGGUGUUCUGUAACCCUCUCUGUGCAUAAGUCCAGUGAGCACCGGACCGUCUGGUGCCCCGAGUCCGGUGAGGUUGUGAGUUUGACAAACUCUCUGCACACGAUACCGGUGAGUACUAGACGCAUCCGGUGCCCACUUGGUCGCGUCCGGUGGUUCGCAGGUGACCGUUAGAGUUUGACGUGCAAGAUUCAAAGGAGAACACAUGGCCAACCCCAGAGCACUAGACGCAGGGGGUCGAGCAUCCAGUGAUCACUUGGUAGCAUCUGGUGCCCCCGAUUUUAGCCCAGUUAAAGUGGCCAACGGCUAGUUCUUUGAGGGGGCUUAUAAAUAAGAGGUGGCCGGCUUUGGGAGGCCAACUCUUGCACAUUUGAUUACUUGAGGCAUAUAUUGAGCUAGAGAACACUCCCUCCACUGAUCGCCUUGCUUGAUUGCUAAUCCUAGUGAGAUUGAGUGAGAUUCAAGUGUAUUGCUUUGAGAGUUGCAUUUAGUGGCACUUGAUUCUUGAGUUUGCUGCAAAUUUCUUAUUACUCUUGGGUGUUUCCCGACGUCCUAGAUGGCUUAGAGCAGCGGUGGUGUUGAGCUCGUGAUUGGAGAUUGUUUCGAGCCUCACCAAGUGAUUUGUAAGGGGUUCUUGAGCCUUCCCUGCGGGAGAUCGCAAUUGGCUACUCUAGUGGAUUGCUCGUGGCUUGGAGGAUCCCUAUCUUGUGAGUGGAUGUGUGGCACCCGCUGAGGGUUUGGCUUUGGAUUGCCAAUCAGCUCGUGAUCCAUCAAGUGGGUGUAUCGCCACAACGAGGACUAGCUUGCCGGAAAGCAAGUGAACCUCGGUAAAAAAUCUUGUGUCAUCUCUUGCCGAGGAUUCUCUUGUAAUUGUGAUUGAUUGAUUGGUUAUAUUUCUACUCUACAACGUUGGUAUAACAAUCACUCCCCUCUCCUUUACUUGUGUGCAUACCUUGCUAGUUGUGUAGCUUGUUUAGCUUAGCUAUCUUGUUUAGGAGUGUAGCAAGCUUCUAGUUGUGCUUUCUUGUUGUAACUAGUGUUUAGCUUUCUUGCUAGACUUGUGUAGGUGGCUUGCAUAGCUUAGUUGUGCUAGUGCUAGAAUAGCUUUGCCUUUUGUUUUACUAAUCAACUUGACUAGUUGAAGUUUGUAGAAAAUUUAAAUAGGCUAUUCACCCCCCCUCUAGACAUUUGGACCAUUCAAGUGGUAUCGGAGCCAAGGCACCAUUUAUUUGAGGCUUAACAACCCACAGUGAAGAAAUGGCUCUUAGUUUGCAUGUCAACAACACCAAGAAGGCACCUUACUUUGAUGGCACCAACUAUGCUUAUUGGAAGGUCAAGAUGACCGCCCAUCUCAAGUCAAUCAAUAGAGAAGUUUGGAAGGUGACCGAAACAAGGUUUGAGGUUGCAAAUAAGAAUGCACCUACACCGGUUGAAGAAAAGAAGCUUCAAUGCAAUGACAUUGCAAUAAGUGCUCUUCAUGAAGCUCUUGAUGACAAGACCUUUGAGCAAAUCAAGAACAUUGAGAUUGCUCAUAAUGCAUGGGCAAAAUUAGAAGAAACAUUUGAGGGCACCAAGGGAACCAAGACUGCCAAGGCAUACAUCCUCCAAGAAAAGUUCUCAAGCUUCAAGAUGCAAGAAGAUGAAAGUGUGCCGGAGAUGUUUCACUGGUUGCAAGUUAUUGUGAAUGAGCUCAAGGCACUUGGGGAAGAAGUGAAGGAUAGUCAAUUCUCUAUGAAGUUCUUGAGAAGAUUGCCCAAGAGAUUUGACACUUUGAUCACCGUGCUAGUCAAGACAACACUUUGUGAAUCAACUCCCCAACAAGUGUUCCAAGAAGUGAUGACCGAUGAUGCUUAUAGAGAAGAUGAUGAGAAGGAUGAGUUGAUCAAGAAGAAGGAUGGUGAGAAGAAGGAUGAUGAGAAGAAGAAAAGUGUGGCAUUCAAGGCCUCCUCAUCCAAGGGCAAAGCCAAGAUAAUCAAGUGAAUAAGAAGCAAGCUCUUGUGAUAGUGAUGAAGAUGAGGAGAUGGCUCUUCUUAUCAAAAGAUUUGGCAAGUUUAUGAAGAAGAAUGGCUAUCGGGCAAGAAGGAAGAAGAGCUCUUCCAAGAAGAAUGACCAUUCCAUGAGGUGCUUUAGAUGCCAUAGCAAGGAUCAUCUCAUCGCCAAGUGUCUUUAUGAUAGUGAUGAUGAAGAUGCUAUCAAGAAGGAAAGAAAGAAGCAAGAAAAGAAGGAAGGCUCAAACAAGAAGAAGGGUGAUGCCCAUGUUGCAACUUGGGAUAGUGAUGACUCCUCAUGUGAUGAUGAGAGCACCAAGAAGAAGGCGCAUGCUAGCAUUGCAAGUGAACCUCGGUAAAAAAUCUUGUGUCAUCUCUUGCCGAGGAUUCUCUUGUAAUUGUGAUUGAUUGAUUGGCUAUAUUUCUACUCUACAACGUUGGUAUAACAAUCACUCCCCUCUCCUUCACUUAUGUGCACACUUGCUAGUUGUGUAGCUUGUUUAGCUUAGCUAUCUUGUUUAGGAGUAUAGCAAGCUUCUAGUUGUGCUUUCUUGUUGUAACUAGUGUUUAGCUUUCUUGCUAGACUUGUGUAGAUGGCUUGCAUAGCUUAGUUGUGCUAGUGCUAGAAUAGCUUCGCCUUUUGUUUUACUAAUCAACUUGUCUAGUUGAAGUUUGUAGAAACUUUAAAUAGGCUAUUCACCCCCUCCUCUAGCCAUUUGUACCUUUCACUUCUCUUGGCCAUUCCACUCACAACUCCUCAUUUGUGUGAAGUUGUUUCAGUGAGAUUGCACUCCGAGAGAGUUGUUUUGAAGUUGGGUAGUGAUAAAAAAAUCUAGAAAAGAGUGGAGGUGCUGUGAAAAUUUAGAAAUCUAAGAGAGAGCUCUUAAAAUUGUUCAGUAGAAACCCUCUAGGUGAUCUUUACCUCUCAAACGGCUAACUCUCUAAAGUUUAACCCUUUCUCUAACCUCCUACUUGCAAGUUCUCUUUGUGUGUGUUGUUUUUCUGAGCAGGAUGAAUUUCAUCAACCGCAUGAAAAGGAGCCAUUCCACCUACUCUAACCGAUCCUCCAUGGACACGGACACGCCACCGACAUCAUCAAGCACCUCACCAGCUCGGCCGUCCAUAGAGGUUUACACCCUCUUGGAUGCUAAGGACAUCUGCCUCCACGACAUGGAGAAACAAAAAUUCCACGCCAUCAAAGAUAGAAAAUUCAAGCUGAAUGUCGCGUACCAUCCGCAUCUCCUCCAGGCCACGGGUAUGGAUUUUGAAUUUGAGUUGAUUUUUAAUGCCCUAGGUGGAAGAAUUUUGCACUUGUUAAUGCACAUGAGGUCGCGCUGCUUACUAUGGAAUUUAUGUGCACGUUAGAACUUCUAGAGGGACAGGCUAGGGUAGCUUUUCAAUUGUUUAAUAAAAGGUUUCAACGCUCUUGGAGAUAUCUAAGUGAUUCGCUAGGAUUUGACUCUAAUUGUGCUUUAGAUCUUAAUGAAGCCCUACCUAAUUUUCAGAAGGGACAAUUCUGGAAAGAGAUCACAAAACUAGACACAUGCCAUAAACCCAAAAAUAGCAAUUUAGAGCUCCCCACACUUCGUUUUAUUCAUAGAUUCAUAUCUGCGACUCUCUUCCCUCGACCUGAAACACAAACCAUUCGGGAAGAUGAAUUAAAGAUAUUGUUUGCUAUUGUCAAAAGACAAAAAAAUUCUCCCGUGAAAGCAAUGAUAUAUCAGUGGUUGGAUGUUUUCGGGCAUAUGAAAGGAGACAGAAUGUGCACCUAUGGUUUUUCGUAUAGCCACAAAUUUGGGGUUAAAUAUUGACAAUCGAUAACGUCAAAUAUUAUUAGAACUUUAAACCCAAAGGAAAACAUAAAUACACACUAAUAUAGGGUUCAGACUAACAAUUUCUACGAGUUUUGCAUAUUCUGAGAUUUUCAGGGAUUAUUUUAGAAAAUGCUGAAAAGAAGGAUUAAGGUGCUAAUUCGCCAAGAAACGUAUCUGCGACGGAAGGACGACACUAGAGGAUUCAGGAAGACUCCAGAAGACACCCGGCACAACAGGGGAGCAACCGGCUGCCAGGUGGGGCCGGCCAGCCCCCUGUGAUUAGGGUUUGGCCUCCCCUUCCGGAAGCUUCCUCCACCGCAUCUGAGGAUCCAUCUUGGUCGCUGGUUAAGUCGGUUUGAUCCGACGGCGCAUGUGCACUCCACCAGGCUAUAAAUAGAGGAGCAGACCCCCUCCUAGAGGACACCCUUCAUUCCUCCUACUUCAUUUGUCAAGAGUAGUCAGAAGUUAGGGUUUCUAGAGAUUAGAAGUAGUGCUUUAGUUCUUCAAGUUUUUAGUUAGGCAUCUAGCGAGGUUCAAGUAGAGAUCGGGUGCUCCGCUUGGGAUUCCAGAUCCGUCUUCUAGAAAUUGAUAAUAUUAUCUUGUAUUUCAUUAUGACUUUGCUCUACUUUAAAAUAUUGCUAUUUAUUCAGUUCUUAGUUUAUUCUAGUUGCAUAUUUGAUAUAGAUGUGGUUUAUGAUGAUUAUUGUUAUGUGAUCAUAAAGCGCCUGAUUUAGUACCCGAGUGAGUCAGGUGGUGCACAGUAUGUAGAUGUGGUGUCUAGAUAUUUUGUGUACCUAUGGAGGCACCCUGACGUGCCGGGUCAUGUGGUAGUCCGCGUAGGUGACAGCUGCGUUGGUUCCUCUGUAGUCCACCCCCCGUACGUAGGACUAGCAGAGCGCGGUCGCAAAGGAGGUGACGGUUGCGUCUUAAAACCCUCAUUAGUUGAUGCUCCUUAUGAUGUUUUCUGAGUUUAUCACACUAUAGAUGAAAAUGUGUAGCAUGGCGUAGGCUGUAGACUUUAUAGUAGUAAUUACAUAGAUUUCUUUUAUUUGAAUAUCAUGAUUGUCUUGCUACAUUAGUGAGUCUUUAUUUUCUACCUCUGGAAUACCAUUACUUCAUUACUCAGUUAUCAUUUAUCAUAUUUUAUCAAUUAGUUAUCGCUAAAGCAUUAGUAUUAUUGGUUAUGAUAGAUUUGCAUAAUUAUAAUUUCCUUAGUCCAUACAAGAUCACCUAUGCCUAAUGAAUAGAAUGCUGCUUUAUCCUUUUGGCAUAAAAUAAAUCAAUGAUACUCGGAAUACUUCCUGGGUGAAAUGCUGCAACGGGAGAAUUAUCUGUGCGCUUACGGAUAUAUUCUAUUUAGAGUUAUUGCAUGUAGAUUAUUUUUAUCCUUGGCUUUGGCAUCAUGUUAGGGAUGACAACUUAAUAUGAAGUGAUGCUAAAAAUACCAACAUUAACAGAAGCCAGUCUUGUCACCUACAUUCAAGAGCCUCGAGUAUAUAUGGAUUUUGAUUUCUUUAGAUAGGCUCAAAUUUUGGAGCGAACCAAUAAUGUUAUACACAUGAUCUAUCGUGGUAUGGCUACCGAGAUUGCACUUCCUAACCCGGGACUUGGAGUCUAUACCGCUUGCAACUAUCUUAUUGGUCUGCAGCCUCCACCACUUGGGAGAAGAAGUGCCUCCAUGCGGUUCACGAACAUACCACAGACGUACUACUAUGGAGGAGAUCUGACACCUAAAGGACCGGCAUACAUGGCGUACGCGUACCACCUAGGAAUGUCAAGACAGCCCCAUGGAUCACUUGGUCAAUGGGAGCCAUCACAGUCACACCACUCUUUGUCUUCUUCUUCACGUGCAUAGUACAAAGAAUUUCGCAGGUCCAUAUCACAUGACUCGCAGCCCCGACGGUCGGUGGACCGUCCUAAACCAUCACGAAGACAUCCUGACCCGCCAAGACACUCUGUCUCUGGUGUGGAGCGGGAACUUGGGUGGCUCAACCUGCGAUUGGACACCAUUACGGAGGAGCAAGCAAACAUGAAUCGAAGACUAGGAGAGCAACAACAAUGGAACACUCAAAUGGGAGCCUACAUCAGCCAUCCAGGAGAACCAGGCCUGGGAGAAGGAAAAUUGGAGUGCCUUCUACCGAAUCCCAGGUAACUACGACUUCAGGCCAUGUUACUACCGAUGAGCAAGACCAGCUUGGGGGAAUCCCCUGUUUCCUUCUUUUUAACCCCCCACUUAAGGCAGGAGGUCUCAAGUUCUGUUGCACCACCUUUCGGGAGGUAACCGACGAUCCAGGUAUCCCGUAAAAUCCUGGUAUUUAUCUAUCUAUUAUUAGUAUACUUCAGCUAGUAUGAUAAAUUUCGUGUUGAAUAACGAAAACCAAAUAAAAAUUUAUGUUUUACUUUUGAUUUAGUGAUAAAUAAAAAAACUAAAAACUUGAAGUAGGAACCAUGAUGGAAAUGAUGAAUAAUUGCUCUGCCUUAAUUCCUUAGAAAUGCCUAGUAUUCAAUUCUGAAUUCCUCUGAGUUUUGGACUAGACUACUUUGAUUUAAAAAUUUAUUCUUGUGGGUAGCAACUGCUGUACUUAAAAGUCUAGGCAAUUGAUUGAUAUGAUAUUGAAAAGUCUAAGCUGCUAUCAUCUAAUUCCUAGAGAACUUGAAUUCUAGAGAAUUAUUUUAUGAAAACUUAAAUUAUGAUGAGUUCCUACAUGAUAAGAGUUUUUAUUCCUACCACAACCAUUUAUGAUUAUGUUUAGACUAGGAAGACCGGCUCAUAGGCUACUUGUUCUUUAUUGAGUUUAGUCAACCCGAGUAGACCCUUGUAGAGAGGAUAUUCAUGCCCCCAAGAUCAAGACCACGUACACCCACAUAUAUCUUGCUGCUCCUACACUAGGAGUAUGCAAAAACAUGCCUUUUUCCACCCAAAAAUCUAUCUCCUACACUAGGAGAAGACCGAAAAAUAUUAUUAGGUUUGCAAAUAAAUGCUCCAAGAUUGUAAUUCUUUUCUCCAAGUUUAUCAUAUCCUAGAGGCAUUAGAUCUCGUUUAAAAAAGAGAAGAAAAAAAGGAAGAAAAGAAAAGUCUAUGCCUCAGGAUAUUAUCCUAGCCAUCAUAGAAGGAGAAGAAGAUAUUUCAAGACCUCCAUAGCAAAAGCUCUUUAUCAGAGGUAAUCUUUCUAGGAGCAAAGUAGAAUUAGGAUUAGCCACUAAAUAUUCCCACACACAUGCAUAUCUUGAUCUACGGGUAUGACUUUCCCCUCCUUGGAUCCUGGUUUUGACUAGACAAUACAUAUAUGGUAAGUAUGCUAUAUCCUUGAAUUACCCUCAGCUCCACAUAAGCUUAUUAAUUAUGAUAGGGUGAGAGAAGAUAGGUACAAUGUUUCAUUGCCUUAUGUUGGAAAUACCACAAAUUUAGAGAGAUGGCAUACAUCAUUGUUGCCUUGAAAGGAAAUCCAAAAAUACCACAUAUGAGAGACUUGAAAGGAUCAUGUAUAGGAAUCUCUGAGUUUUAUUUCAAAAAGCUUUGAAAAACUCUAGAAAAGAAAGUUGAUCAAAGACUUUGAGAUAGAUCUUGACUACAUUGUUCUGUCUUUCAAUUACUCAAGACUCGAGAGAAGGCAAUAAGCUCCACAGUUGAAGGUAAUAUGAGUAAGUUUGAAAGGUCCGAGUAGUCUAUCCAUUAUUUAGAAGAUAAUUCCUUUUUGAAUACAUGAGUAAUUUUGAGGUGUGAAGCAUUGUAGCAACUCCUGAUCUAUCAUAGUUUGCUAAGAGACUAGCAAAGGUUAAGCUUGGGGGAGCUUGUUGAUGGUUCUUAACAUAAACAUUAUACCAUUAAUUAAUGCAUGAUGUAACAGGAAAAGAGUUAUUAGUGCACAGUUGUAGGGUUUAACUCUAACAAGUUCCACGAGUUGUGUUGUUCUCACUUGUUUUGCAGAUUAUCCAUAUUUUGCUACAUAAAAGUAUUUGAAACAGUGAAACAGAGCACACCAUUGUGAAGAGCUCGACGAGACGAUCGAAACGGACCUAUCAUUUGACAUAGUUGGAGACUCGAAGGAAGAGUCCUACAUUAAUACAACCAAGAAUCUUCUAGAAGACACCGGAGACAUCACCAAGCAAGAGUUUAUAGGGACUAACAUAACAAUUUCCAUAGCUUUGAUGAAAUUCUGUAUUUUAGGGAUUUAAACAAAGAAGUCUGAGAGGAUAAGGUUAAGGACCCAAACCAAAUCACAUCGGAAUCACGCAAGAAUUGACGGGAACCUAAUAGAGGACACGAGAAGACAUGGGAACGAAGGUGGCGACCAACCCAUGACAAGUGGGGCUGGCCGGCCCCACCCCCAAGGCGGUCAGCCUAGGCCCACCUGGCAUCCUCCUCUCCUUCACGCGGCGGCUCCUCCCCGAACCCUAGUUCGCAUCUACGCCCUUGAUUGAAGUCGGUUUGAUCCAAGGGCCAUGGCGCAUCCCACCAGACUAUAAAAGAAGGCGCAGACCCCCUGGAGGCAUUAUCAUUCAAUACUGAUUCAAUUUAGAUCUCUUAGAGGGUUAUGGUUUCCAAUUAGAAGUUGAGAGCUCUACUUCAAGUUUAGGUUUAGGUUUAGCUAGAUACAAGUAGAGUUGAGGCAUAGCUUCGACGGCUAAGGCACCUCGGUGGUGGCGACUCAGGGUUGUGGAUCAACGUCAGGAGAUUUGGAAACUUUGCCUUGUAUCUUGUAAUUAUGACUUUAUGCUACUUCAAUAAUAUCAUUAUGUUCUCGUUUAGUUUGUUCUUAGUUUAUUCCUGUCCUAUCUUUGAUAUAGUCAUGAUCCGUAUGAAAUUUAUGCAUAUGUUCGUAAAGUGCUUAGUUCAACUUCGGGUUGAAUUAGGUGGUAGAAGUAAUGUAGGCAUGGUGUCUAGAUUAUAUUUACCUGCGGAUGCACCCUAUUUUCUGGGCCAUGUGGUAGAUCACGAAGGUGGCUUGUAUAGCUUUGUUGAGUCCUCUAUAGUCGACUCCAUGAAUCUAGGACAUGUACAACCCAGUUGCUUAGGGAUGAAUUGCUCUAUUCUUGAAUUCCCUGAAGUAAUGUUCCUUAUGAUUAAAUGGAAGAUUGAUUAUGCUAUAAAUGAUAAAGAGUAGAAUAGGAACUCUGAGACUUGAUAGAUAGGAUAUAACUUAGGAAUUAAAUCUCUAACCGUGUCUCCUGACCUAGUUCCUACUUGAUUAGACAAGUUCUUUCUAAUUAUGGAUUCCCUAUCAUUAUCUAUUUAUCUUAUCAUUAUCAGUAUUACCUUACCCCUAUUUAAGAUAGAAGUGGUUGAUUGAUCCAUAUCUAGAGAGAGUAUGUAUAUUUGUAAUUCUUUUACCCAUAUUGUUCCUUUCUCAUUUUAUUCCCCAUAUUUAUGAUAAGUAGUCUUCCCAGUGGUAGAAUUAUAAGUAACAAUACCUAGGACCUUCCUGUGUAAAAUGCUACAACGGGAGUAUUUUAUCUGUGCACUUGCAGAUAACCUUUAUUAUUUUUCUAUAGUGCCAUGAUCAUAAAUACAAUCGUGUCUCUUAUGUCGUGUUAGUUCCGAUAGAACCUUCUGUCGGUAAUUGAUAUAUGACACAAACCUGGAAAACUUUUUUGCAUUAGUGAUUUGAUUUAUUCUGACUUUUAAUGGAGAAUUACUGAUGUAAAGUAUGUCAGAGGUGUUUUGUUGCAGAAGAUGGUCGACCCAAUCAUUUCACUUAUGAUUUGGCCUAGUAGACCCAAUCAUGAUAUUGAAGGAUGGGACCUUUUCUCGAAGGUUGGAAAGUUCCAUUCGGGGAUGACAACCUAGUGUGUGCGGUAUAAGAGAUGCCAACAAACAUUAAUGCUCGAGAUACAAUGCCACUCCAAAACAACCUCCAAGUAGAGUUGUUUGAUGUUUGGGAAAUUGACUACAUGGGACCAUUCCAAAGAUCUAGAGACGCUGAAUUCACUUUGGUGGCAGUGGAUUAUGUGUCCAAGUGGGUAGAAGCAUUACCAUGUCAAGCUGCCGACUCCAAGCAUGCCAAGAAGAUGUUCCAUGAAGUGAUAUUCCCAAUAUUUGGCACAACAAGACUAGUCAUAAGUGAUGGAGGAUCACAUUUCAUUGAUAAGAGCUUCAAACAAUUCCUCAUAGAAUAUGGAGUUAAGCAUAAUGUUGCAACUCCAUACCAUCCUCAAACCAGCGGUCAAGCAGAAACAUCAAAUAAGCAAAUCAAGAACAUUCUACAGAAGACUGGAUGAGAUGGAAAAGAAAUGCAAGUACAAGCUCCAUGAUGCACUAUGGGCAUAUCGAACUGCAUACAAAACACCCAUAGGCAUGUCACCUUAUCAGCUUGUAUAUGGAAAAACAUGCCACUUGCCUAUUGAAUUAGAAUUCAAAGCUCAUUGGGCAAUCAAGAAACAGAACAUGGAUCUCCAUCUAGCCGGUAAGAAUCGUUAGAUGCAAAUAUCUGAGCUGAAAGAAUGGAGAGAAAAGGCUUAUCAUAGCUCCAAGAUCUACAAAGAGAGAACCAAAAGAUGGCAUGAUAAGAGAAUAAAGCACAAAGAGUUCAAGCCUGGAGAUAAAGUUAUAUUAUUCAACUCAAGAGUAAAGCUCUUCGGUCAUGGAAAGCUUAGAAGCAAAUGGGAAGGACCAUUCAAAGUGAUUGAUGCUGCAUCGCAUGGUGCCAUCACAAUCCAAGAUGAUAGAGUUAACACAUUCAAGGUAAAUGGUCAAUGUUUGAAAGUUUUUCUUGAACCUGAAAAUAUAGAAGAAAUAUAUGUAAUUGAGUUUUUCCAUUUUAAAGAUCCAAUCUAAAUUUUCAAAAGGCUCUAGACAACUAAAACUCUUUGGACUAACACCUAAUCAGUUCUACAAGUUUUGUUGUCUAUUUGAGUUUCACAGGUUUCAAAGGAUCAAGAAGAGCUAACAGGCAGAAGGAUGUCAUGUCCCCUGUCAGAGUGCUAUCCACAUCAGUCAAGUGAUGUUUCUAACAACAAGUACCCACUAUACUCCAAGUGGAUUAGUACGCCUUCACUGCCCGUUAGCAACCUCAGUAGACCAUGUCAACAUCCAGCUUGGGGGACAGCAACCCCAGAAUAUCGAGCUAAGUAUACCUCACUUGUCUAUUUAUUUCUAGUGCAUUAUGAUAAGAUGUAACACCCAAAAUUUUGAUUUCAAUUAAUAGGAAUUAAUUUGAUUUAUUUAAGUAUUUUUGUGAGCAUUUGAAUCUAGCAAAUAAAUUAUUUUGUGAAAAUUAAAAUUCAUCAUAAGGGUAGCAACAUGCUUUUGCAUUCAUGCUGAGAAUAGCAUUUAUUUUUGUGUUGUUUGUUUCUGUUUUUAUCUUAUUUGUUUAUGUUCAAAAAUUCUUUUUGGAAAAGAAAAUAGAAAAAGAAAAAAAAAUAACAAAGGGGGAGAAACCCCUGGGAAGACUAGGCCGAGGCCCAGCCAGCCCCGCGCCUAGUCUCUCCCCUUCCCGCAUCGCGAGCACGGCCCACGACGCGGCCCAGCGCUCCCCCGCAGCCCGAGCCAGCCUAGAAGCGCGUCCCCCUUCUCCCUUCAGCUGACAACCGGGCCCCGCCCCGUUCUCUCUCUGCCGCACUGGCCCCGCGUGUAAGUCACCUCUCCUUGCUUCCUUCUUCUCCAGCGCACGCAGCCGGGCCAGACUCGACACCGAUCACGGCAAAAUCCCGAUUUUGACGGGAUUUGAUCCUCUCGAUCCCUAUAAAGGCCACCAACCUUGCCCCGCACCUCUUUUCUCUACCCGAGCGUUUUUUUCCAAGCCCUAGCCGUCAUUUGGUUGCAAACCGGAUCUCGCCGAGCCGCGAGUCAGGUCGCCACCGUCGCGGGUCAUCCCUGUCCCUUCCCAGCUCGAACAAAACACGUGGGUGAGUGCGCAAGAAGCUUCUCUACGUUUUGGUGUGCUCGGAUUCGUCCCGGGUGCUCGGCAGCAGGCUUUUCCCGAACUCCGGCGAGGGGCGCUAAUGGCACCGCCGCGGGGAGCACAGCUCCGGCGAGGUGGCUGGUUGUUUCUUCCCUGCGCGAUUUCAACCAUCGGAUCGGAAUUCAACAGCCCAGAAACAAAGAUACCCCUUCGAUGUUUAUUUUGCUAAGGAACCCCUGCAUUUCUUUAUUUUUUUAACCCGCAGUCCAAGGCGCCCUGAGUAAAAUACGUUUUCCAACUGCGAAAACGUAUUCUAACCGGCUGAGUUCAAAAUACGCUUUCUGCUAUUUACAAGUUUGCCAUUGAAAUUGUUUUGGUCAUAAAAUGCUCAUUUUAACUCUGUUUUUGUCCAUUCAAAUUUCGUUAGAUUCGUAUUCACGAUCUCUACAUGUUAGAAGUAUUAGUUUACUGUUUUGAAAAAUUUUAAUUCUGCAGUAGCAUUUAAUUAAUUAUUUCUCUAUAGGAAAUCUUGAAAAAUUCAUAUCUUCUACGUUUUAAUUCCGAUUUUCGUGAACUUUAUGUUUGUGUGAUCGUAGCGCUGCAUAGAAUAUUUUCAUAAACUUUUAUACUUGUUUUACCACUGUUUGGUGUAAUGUUCUAAUUAUAGCUUGUUUGCUUCGUGUAUGAUUGUCUACAUUGGAUUGCGUGUUGUUGAUUGAUGAUCGAGUAUAGACGGUGAGCCGUACGUUGUUGAUCGAGACCAAGCCUUUGAAGACCAGCAGGCUUAGGAGAGCUUUGAUCAAGGCAAGUAUAACUUGGGAUCAUCCUUGUUACCUACACACUUUUAAUACAUAUAUCAUAUGCAUGUGUCCACCUUGAUGACCUUAGUAAAAUCAUAGAUGAUUGUUGUUGACGGUCCUUAAUGCUCACAUUAAACCAUCAACUAAUCAUAGAAAAGGACUUAAAUGCAACCAACACCCAGACUUAGGGUUUUAUCUGACAGAAUUCCACGAGUUUUGGUGUUUGUCUAUUUCUGCAGGGUGUUAUCAGGAAAUACGGAAGAAAGGCCCACACGUCGGGAUUACAUAGAGAUAUUAACGUGCCGCGCAAUUUUCUAUCAUCUAGAACACUCCAGAAGCCACGGGACCGAAGCGGAGGCCGAGGGGGCUCAGGCACUGGGCGCCCGCCCUACCUUACUGGGCGCCCGCCCUCCCCCGUGGACCAAACAGAGUCCAAUUCGGGGACAACGCUCCACCGACCUAAAGGAUCAAGGAAAACCACACGAUCAAUGUCGGUUUGAUCCGACAGCCCAGAUUCACUUGAAGGGACUAUAAAACCAGACCCCCCUGGCCCCUGGAGAUCAUACCUCUUCUACAGAAUCAAAGCUAGGGUUUCAAUUCUUCAUCCAAGUAGAGAGGAUCUCUCUAGUUCUUCUAGUUCUACCUCUAGUUCAUCUAGAUCUAGUUCUAGUUCAUCUAGUUCUAGUUCUAGUUCUUCUAGUUCUAGUUCUAGUUAGUUCUAGUUGUAAUCUAGAAAAUAGGGAGAGAGAAGAGGAGAGAGGAGGAGGAGCCGGAUCUGUCGGAUCUUCCUCAACAUUGUACUUUUGCAGCAACUGGUUCGUUCUUCAUCGUUCUUCAGGUUCUUCAAUUCAUAACUCCUGAGUUCUCUAAUUACUUUUAUUUACAUUCAAGUUAUUUAUUGGAUUCCCGCUUGCAUCAAGUGCUCUAGUCUUUAUAACGCUAGAGUAGUAAUUAAUAGAUUAGACGUGGUGUUUAGUCUUGCGAUUACCUGGAAUUGCACCCAAUCCUACGGAUUGUUGUGGUAGCCCUAGGGUAGUGACAGCCCUAACGGUCGACGUAUUCCACCACGUUCGGAUCGGUGUUUGUAGGACCGUAGUCAGUCCUUCCUACCCCCUUCUCAUCUCUUUCCGUGGUUAGUGCUCUGAUGUCCCGAUAUAGAUAAUCUUGAAGUAAUUCUUGAUUCUUAGAUCAACUAGAGAACUUUCAGGAAACUUCCUCUCUUCCCACCAAAAAUAAUUAUAUAGUUAUCCUUGGGCGAUCUUGGAUCUUAAUUAGUACACUCACGUUCUCUGUGGAAAAUCGAUACUCUGGAAUACUCUCGGAUGAAAGCUACAUCGGUAUCCGUGCGCUUGCGGAUUUUUCUGUUUGCGUUUAAAAUACCCAACAAGCUUUCUGGCGCCGUUGCCGGGGAACGGUAGCUGUGCUAGUUUCGAACCAAGUCGUCCGUGUAUCCUUUUUCUUUUCCUUUUUCACCACACUCACCUUAUCAUUUUCACCAUACCACAUGGAUUUCACUCUAAGCAUUAAUGAGCAUGGAAUUUAUUUCAUAGCCACUUCAUUUACUCCAUGCGCAUAUGCAACAUCUUCACAAUCCAUUGGUCUCUCUAACAUCACCACAUUCGAGAUCUCCAACCCCCUCAUCCUUUCUAUCUAUAAAAACUUUAAAAGGGCGGUUGUCGAUGCAUAUGUCUAUAAAAAAUAUUGCAGAUCUCGUUGAGUUGAUCUUGAUAUAGGUCAGCGUUGGAGGGGAAACCACUUCACUGACAUAAAUUGAUGGUUUCCCAAGAACAAGCUUAGUGUCCUAAAAUAAGCACUGAUCAGAUUGUAACAUGAGCUUUUAAUUAUUUGCAACAUUACCUUGUGUGUUGAGCAUAUAAGGAUAAUUGUAAAGAUAUUCCUUCGGGUAUUCUUGUCACUAACCUUUACAGGAUUGGAGCAAGAAGAUUGGAUGAAUGACAAGCACAAGGUAUGUCCAACCAAUCAUCAUACAACAUUGAAUUAAAUUCAUCCAAACUUGAAUUUUGCAAAAUUCAAGCUUGGGGGAGUACUUUACAUAAAAACAUCCUUUGCCAUGUUGCUAUAUUGGUUGACACUACCAUUGAGACAUGCUCAAUUUGUUAAAUACUAAUCACACUACUUCAUCUCCACUUGAGUAGAUCUCUAUAAAUGCUCUCAUGCUACCUUUAUUUGCUUUAGUAUAUGUCUAGGUUUGGAGUAGUUUCAUUUAUCUCUUAAUUGAGCUUGGUGCUUAGUUUAGGAAUGAUGAUCUUACUUGCAAGGGGUUUUAAAUUAAGCAUGGUGCUUAGGUUAAAAAAAGCCCUCCUGAAUCAAAUUAGACAUGGUGUCUAGGUUGAUUUUUGAGCCGAUAGUAUGCUAUAGUAGAUAUGGGAUAUUUUGUUGGACUAACCCCUAUAGGAAAACUUUCACUAUCGACCUGGGAAGUCCUGAGAUACACUCACAUUUUUGACAAAGAGAGAGGCACAUGAAGUUUAACAAUUUACACAAGGAAGGCAUAGCUCACAAGAGAUGAUCCAUGGAGGGUGCCACAAACACGAUGCACAACCGCUGAGAAAGGAAAGCUUCCACAAGGUGAUACUGUACCAUCACUCUUCAAGUAAGGUAACAUCUUAAGGUACUUAACUAUCACUUUUAUAAGCUUCUCCUUGGUUCUGGUGUUCACAUGAAUAAAAGAGACAAACAUGUAUGAUUUAUAAUUCUAGAUUAAUCAAUCCAAUCGAUUCAACAUGUUUAGUCCUUCCACCUUUGUGAUCCCACAAUCCUAAUCAUAUGAGCUAAAAUGUUGCACACUCAAUCUUUGGAAAAUGAUAGUCAUGUAAAGAAAAAAACAUUUACUUAGAUAGAUUAUCUUUCCAUAAGGUUGAGUGAUCUGAUCUGACAAAUGUUUUAAGUAUUACACUCAUGGUCUUAUUAUCCAUCAACUUUGUCUUGCUCACUAUGCUUAAGGUUAGAGAGAACAAAUACACUUUUGGUUCUGCUAGUGUUUUCCACCAACAGGGCCUAUGCACUUGAUCUCUGCCUUGUCUCCAUGAGCAGGUACACUUGGAGCAAAAUAUGAAGGACUUUUACAACUCCCAGACUCCACCAAGUGAAGAACCUAGAUCAACGAGUACACACACUAGAGAUACUGGACACUCAGGCAAUCACUGCCCUGAGAUGCUUGAGGACGCAAACUACAUCAACAAGAAACUACCACAACCGUCCUCAACAAAAUCAAGGUUGGAAUCAACAAAGGCCAAACUACUCAGAGGCGAUCCAGGACGUCCCGUCAUCCCGAUCUCCAUCGGCAUGGUGGACUUCCUAGAAGCACUCUGCGACUUUGGCUCCAGCGUCAACAUUAUGCCCAAGCCUGCAGAUCAGACACUAAGUUUCCCAAAGGGAAUAUUGAAGAACCUCUGCGUUCGAGUUGGUACCUUGUACGCCCCAGCAAACUUCGUGGUGAUAGAGACUGGUACUGAUGAGAGGGCACCCAUCUUAGGGAGGCCAUUCCUGAACACCUCGGGAGCUGUCAUCUACGCUAGUGCUGCCAAGAUCAGUUUCUACAUCAAAGGGAGAAAUGAGACAUUUUCCUUCAAGAACAAGACUACACAAUCUCAAAGCAUUCCCGACAUAAACCAAGGAAGAGGACCAACAGGAGGAACAGGAACAAGCAAGUGUGGACCGAGUCAGCUAAGAUGGUCACUGCAGUUCAAGGAGGUCAAGAUCAUCUAUUUAAGUCACCGUUCCUGACCAAAAAGGACGACUCAGUCACCUAUCAGCUUCUGUUAGGAACCAUGCCCUUAAAACCGACAUACACCCAGCUCCAGAUGGCAGAUCAAACAUUUUGGAAGGUUGAAGUUAUUGACAUAGGAGAAGACGAGUAUGAUCCACCCAUCAUCUUUGGAAGACCGUUCCUCAACACCGUUAAAGCAAUCAUCUACAUUGGAACCGGCGGAGUCCACAUGCACUUCCCCUCUGAAAUGGUACGCCACUAUUUUACUAACCUUAACUACAUAGUUGAAAGACUCUAAGCAGGUGAGGACAAGAAGAAGACGACGCAACCGCAACCAGAGUGGGCAAAUUAUCAAGGACGAAUGGGCGGAUUAUGAAGGAGAAGUGGUAAGGUCUGAAGACAUACAACUUGAACAGAACUGUCCUGAGGAGACCGUAGCACCGUGUCAGGUGUGGAGAGAGAAGAUAGUUAUACAUGAAGACCAGGCGCUGCCGGAACCACUGACUACGCCAUCCAGCGAAUCCCAGGACAACUGAGAAAAUAGAGAGUCACGUUCGGAGGACUUAAAAACACCGAACGCCUUGGUAAGAGUUAAACUUGGUACUUAUCCUUUUUCCCUUUCAAUUAUUUAAAAUAGUUUGCUUAGUUAAUCAGGUUCAUAUCAUCUUAAAAAGAAAAUAAAAAUGUUAAAAACAGUAAGCCCCAUGUGAGUAUGCUCAUGGCAUAAAACCCAUAAGUACAUUCACUGUGGUGGCAUAAAAAUAAAAUAAAUAUAUUUCUGUCCUAUAAAAAUAAAAUUAUAAAAAUAAAAUUAUGAUCCUACUAAUGAGUAACAUUUAUUGAGGAGGCUCAACAUGAUAAAGGCUAGAUAUUUAUGCUAACACUUAACUAGUUCCACAAAGCUUUGUUGUCUAUUUGAGCUCCACAGAAUUCAAGGAUUAAAGAAGACUAGCAGACGAAGGACAUCCUAAUCGCUGUCAGAGUGCUGCCGACAUUCAAAGACACCUCCGCCACCUGCUAGCUACAUCAGAAGAAAUUAUGUCAAAAUCCAGCUUGGGGGAGAGCACCCCCAUUUAUCCAGCUAAGUGUUCUACUCACGUUUAUACUUUACUCAAAUAAUAAAAAAGAUGCAUAAUCAUAAAAACCCAAAUAAAGAUUUUAUGCUUAUAUAUAUAUCUUUGCUUAGUUUGCUAAAUAAAAAAAUAAAUCAAGAUAAGUAUUAUUUUUCUUUCUUAGUUUUAUUUACUAGUAUUCGGAAAUAAAAAAAAUGCAUAACCAUGAAACCAAACACAAUUUUUAUUUUGAGUAAUAUAUAAUAGUUUUAUGUAAUACUAAGUUUUAAAUAAAAUAAAAAGAAAGUUUGAUUCAAGUCUAGGUAAUUGACAAACAUGAUAUGAGAAGGUCUGAGCUACUAUUUAACUUGUUCUAAGUUUUGCUAGAGUUCUAGAGAUUUUAUCUUUUGAAAAUCUAAAAAUUCAUAAAAAAAAUAUAUGAGAUCAUAAUACCUAGAGUCUUAUAAGAAAUAAAUAUUAAAACUGUGGGUACUUUCUUUGUUCAAGCCAUUGUUAAUUCUGGUAGUUUUGGUUGAGAGAAUUAUCAUGCUCCCAAGAUCAAGAUCUUUUUGUUUUAAAAAUAUAAAAGAUUCACUCUUCCGAAGUAUUAUUGCGUUAGAGGCAUGGGACUAUGCAAAAAUUUGAUUCGAAAAAAAAGAGUGAGAUGAGAGGUAAAAAUGGACAAGUGUCCGAAGUAGAAUUAGGGGUACAAAGAUACCCACCUGAGUGGAAAAAAAUGGACAUGUGUCCGACAGUAGAAUUAGGGGUACUUGCUGCCCACUUGAAAAAAAAAGAGACUAAAAAAAAGAGAGAAAAAAAAGGGAAAAAAAAUGAUAGCCCAUGGUCCCUCUAAUAAGCAAUAUGCCAGUAAGAGAUGACAAACUCUUCAAAAAGGUCAAAGGUCUUGAUCUAGGAGUAUGACAUUCCUCUCCCUUGCUCCGAGCAUUGACAUAGCAAAAUGCAAAGUAAGUAUGCUAAAAUUUUUAAAGCUCUACUUAUAUAUCUUUCGAGAAGAAGGCAAAUGCCUCAGAUUUAUUUUGGAAACUUACAAACAACUCCAGAACAAAGGUAAGACAGAAGAACUUGAGACAUAGUGCUUGACUUGAUCAUUCUGUUUUUCAAUCACUUAAGACCUUAGUGAUAACUUAAAACCCCUUUAGUAAAAGGCAUAAAAGUAACCCCUGUUUUCUUGAUGAUUUUAGCUUUGCUCAGGGACGAGCAAAGGUUAAGCUUGGGGGAGCUUGUUGACGGUCCUUAAUGCUCACAUUUAACCAUCAACUAAUCAUAGAAAAUGACUUAAAUGCAACCAACACCCAGACUUAGGGUUUUAUCUGACAGAAUUCCACGAGUUUUGGUGUUUGUCUAUUUCUGCAGGGUGUUAUCAGGAAAUACGGAAGAAAGGCCCACACGUCGGGAUUACAUAGAGAUAUUAACGUGCCGCGCAAUUUUCUAUCAUCUAGAAGACUCCAGAAGCCACGAGACCGAAGCGGAGGCCGAGCGGGCUCAGGCACUGGGCGCCCGCCCUACCUUACUGGGCGCCCGCCCUCCCCCCUGGACAAAACAGAGUCCAAUUCGGGGACAACGCUCCACCGACCUAAAGGAUUAAGGAAAACCACACGAUCAAUGUCGUUUUGAUCCGACGGCCCAGAUUCACUUGAAGGGACUAUAAAACCAGACCCCCCUGGCCCCUGGAGAUCAUACCUCUUCUACAGAAUCAAAGCUAGGGUUUCAAUUCUUCAUCCAAGUAGAGAGGAUCCCUCUAGUUCUUCUAGUUCUACCUCUAGUUCAUCUAGAUCUAGUUCUAGUUCCUCUUGUUCUAGUUCUAGUUCUUCUAGUUCUAGUUCUAGUUAGUUCUAGUUGUAAUCUAGAAAAUAGGGAGAGAGAAGAGGAGAGCGGAGGAGGAGCCAGAUCUGUCGGAUCUUCCUCAACAUUGUACUUUUGCAGCAACUGGUUCGUUCUUCAUCGUUCUUCAGGUUCUUCAAUUCAUAACUCCUGAGUUCUCUAAUUACUUUUAUUUACAUUCAAGUUAUUUAUUGGAUUCCCGCUUGCAUCAAGUGCUCUAGUCUUUAUAACGCUAGAGUAGUAAUUAAUAGAUUAGACGUGGUGUUUAGUCUUGCGAUUACCUGGAAUUGCACCCAAUCCUACGGAUUGUUGUGGUAGCCCUAGGGUAGUGACAGCCCUAACGGUCGACGUAUUCCACCACGUUCGGAUCGGUGUUUGUAGGACCGUAGUCAGACCUUCCUAGCCCCCUUCUCAUCUCUUUCCGUGGUUAGUGCUCUGAUGUCCCGAUAUAGAUAAUCUUGAAGUAAUUCUUGAUUCUUAGAUCAACUAGAGAACUCUCAGGAAACUUCCUCUCUUCCCACCAAAAAUAAUUAUAUAGUUAUCCUUGGGCGAUCUUCGAUCUUAAUUAGUACACUCACGUUCUCUGUGGAAAAUUGAUACUCUGGAAUACUCCCGGGUGAAAGCUACAUCGGUAUCCGUGCGCUUGCGGAUUUUCUGUUUGCGUUUAAAAUACCCAACAAUUGUUAUCCUGAAUUCCUUGUUACCUAUUUAGAUAUGCAUGUGGAUAGUUCUUGCUAGCGCUUGAUUAUUAAUCCAUGAUCUUGUGACAUGAAUAUUUGAAUAUACAAUAAACAAUAAAAUAAGCUUUCUAGCAACUUGAUUAUAAAGGGUGGAAAGAACUCUGGCUUUAGUUGGAUUGAUCUUGACCUCCAUAAGGACUUAUCCCUUGGCAAAAGCUGGGAUAACUCGUACAACCAUGAGGGAUAUAUGGCUCUGGCUUUAGCUCAAUAUAAAGACCUUUUCUAGCUAGUUAGAGGUUACCCGAAAGGGCGCUAGAGGGGCUGAACCGACACGGGUGUAGUGCGAGCCCCUGUCCCUAUGUGUAUAGGCUGCGCGUCAUUGUGCCAUUCGGAAGGGGGUAUCUAUAUCUGCUCGCGAAGGAAACCUUGCGGCCCUAACAUGUUAGACGAACUUUUGAAAGGCUUCAUAGUGAUCCCUGCCGACCUCCCUAGGAAGGGGGUUAAGAGACUAGCUACCUCGGGCGAAAGGGUAAAUCAUGACUCAUGGGUAAAGAUGUACAACCUCUGCAGAGUGUUAAAUCUGGUAUACUAGCCGUGCCCACGGAUACGGUCUGCUCGGAAAACUGACGGAAUAGUUGGACACUGUUGAACAUGAUUAAUGAUAAUAAAUGACGGUUUAUUAUGUUGUUUAUAUGUGUUAUUCUUAAUUCUUGUAUACAUUGAUCAUAUGGUUAUGAGAUUAUUUAUGCUACCUUGAUAUCUGCUAUCCAAUGAUUAAACAUGCUAUCCACUAUUAAAAGCUAUGCAGUCAAACCAGUGUCAGCUAUUUUGAGCCUCAUGAACCCCUAGUUAUACUUGUUGAGUACGAUAUGUGCUCACUCUUGCAAUUUCCCAACACCCCAGGUUAUGCAAGUGAUGAUGUUUGGAAUGAGGACUACCGCUAUGAGUAUUAGGUUUGGAGUCUACCAGUCAACAGUGUCCCUGUGUGGUGCUUCCGUCGAGAGCGUUGUUUACUUUAUGCUAUCAUUUUUGUAUGAGACUAUGUGAUAUAUUAUGUUCCGCUAUGUAAUAAACACUGCAAUGGUACAUUUGAGAUUUGUCUACUUAUGUGUGUGACUGUUUCUGGGGCACAUAUGAGUCUUUUAUGCAUCCUAUUUUGUUAUUAAAAUAUGGGUGUGACAUAAGAUAAAACUAAAAAGAUGAAUAACUAUAGAAACCCAAUAAAGAUUUUUUUAUAUUUCAUAAUUUGUUUUGCUAGCUAAGGAGAGCUCUUAAUGAAUCUGUUAUAAUGAACCUCUAGAACAAACUCUUAUAUAGAGAUGAUGAAUAGUUGCUCUGCCAUAAUUCCUUGCAAGUACCUAGUUUUUAACCUUGUACUCUCCUGUGUUUUAGACACAACUAUUAGACUUAAGAUUUUGCUCUGAGCCUAAAACUUGUGGGUACCAAAUGCUUGAAAUAAGUCUAGGUAGUUGACAGAUAUGAUAUGGGAAGGUUUUGAGCUGCUAUCAAUCUUGCUCCUAGAGAUACUAGAGUUCUAGAGAAUUUUAUUUGAAAAUCUUAAAUUGCUAAAUGAUGAGUUCCUUUAUGACAAGAGUUAAAAUGCCUACCACAGCCAAAUACUCAUGCUUGUUAGAUUAGGAAGACCUUCCACUUAUGUUUCAACCUAUAAGCAUUGAGGUUAGUUAAGCUAUGUUGACCCUAAGGAACUAGUCAUGCAGAUAAAGUCAAUAAUAUGUGCUCUCCAUCCAUUGAACUUAGCUACUUCUAUCAUUAGAAGUAUGCAACCACCACAUUCACUAUGUGCUACUUCUAUUCCUAGAAGUACCACCCACAUAUAUGCACUACACUAUAUGUUGCUCCUACCCUGGGAGUACGCAUUCACCCAUCCACAUUCCAUAUCCACUCAGAAAAUGUUCUACUCCUACAAUGGGAGAAGACACCCAAAAAUAUUCAUUAUGUCUUAUUCUACUUUUCCAAUAAAGCUCCACUUAUUCUAGUUGAUACUCCCUAUUGCUAUUAGUGCAUUAAAAGGGUUGGCUGAUCUAAAAAAGAGAAACAGAAAAGAAAAGAAAGAGGACAAAAGUCCCAAAAGAAAAGAAAGACAGUCAAGUCCUUAUUCUCAUAUUAGGGAGGUAUCUUAUCCCCAAGGAGCAAUUGUAGAAUUAGAUAUUCACUAUCAGUUAUCACCCCCAUUAUCACCGUCAUUCUUAUCAUUCACUACACUCACAUGCACAUAUGACUUGAUUGUAUAAUUCAUCUCUCUGGAUCCAUGGUUUAACUAUGCAAUACAUGCAAGUAGGUUUGAAUUGUCUCUCCCACCUAUAAGCUCCACAUAAGCCUAUUAGAAGUAGGGUGAGAGAGAGAGAAGGCAACUAUGCCUUAGUCCUAUAAAAACUACAUAUUCUAAGAGAAGAGAAAAUACAUACCUUACGCUUGCUUUGAGAGGAUCCAAAAAUACUACAUAUGAGAGACUGGAAAGGGUCAUACAAGGAAACUUUGAGUUUUAUUUAAAAAUCUUGCAAAAACUCUGGAAUAAUAGUGAGAAACAUAGUGCUCGACUUAACCAUUGUCUCUCAACUGCUCAAUAUCUAAGAGAAGGCUAUAAGUCCCAUUGUGAAAGGUAAUAUGAGUGAGCCUUGAGUUGGAAUAGUUCACUCUAAUCUGGAGGAGAGUCCUUGUUUGAACAUAUGUGUACUUGUGAGGCAUGAGAGUAUUGCAACAACUCAUGAUCCACUGCUAAGUUUGGUUCUGCUCAGGGACGAGCAAAGGUUAAGCUUGGGGGAGUUUGUUGACAAUAGUUAACUUUAACUAUCAACAUAACUUUUAUAACUACAAAAAGAUGCUCACCAACAUAGGUCUAGGGGUUUGAACUUACAAAUUCCAUGAGUUUUGGUGCAUCUAUGUUUUGUAGGGGUUACACAGGAAAAGAGCUAAAGGCAAACUAAUCAUUGAAUAAAAGUAUCUCAAAUGAUGAAUUGGACUACACUAUUGCGACGGGCUCAUCGAGCCGAUCGAAAUCCAUAUAUCAUUUGUGUAAAAGAACCGUCCAAAUUAUAAGACAUUAAUCCUAAUAGUGACCAUUUGUAGAGUCAAACCACCGAGCUUAAGCCCAUAUAAUCCCGGUAGUCCGUGAAAUCUCGAAGGAUUUCAAGCCACAAUUCGUACGUACAGCCAAGAAUGUAAUAAGUUCAGCGGUCACCAUUCACAAUUACAUCCAGUUCACAACAUUCAUAAAAUACAUCAGAGCACUUAAAAUUAUUGCAAACCAAGUUCUCAAGUAGCGGAAGCUUCAUAGUUUGAAAGUAACGCACACAUAUAGUCUAAUACAGUGCCAUAGUUCGAUCAUUCCCACAAAAGCAAAAGAGAAGGUAGAGUGACCAUCGCCCUUGGUCUAGUCAUCACCCAUUGCUGGGUACAAGCAGAGGAUGCAAUAACCAUAGUACAUUUGACCAUCUGCAAAACAACAUGGGAAUAGAACCCUAAGUACGAGAAUUUACUCAGCUAGACUUACCCGUCAUAAACCAAAAAUAAAGACUCUUCAAGGAUCAUGAAGGCUGUAUGGUGGGGUUGCUAAGACUUUUUGCAUAAAAGCAUUAUUCCACUAAAACAUAGCCUAGAGACCUUUCUUCUUUUAAUUAGCUCAAGUUUGAUAUUAUCAUUACCUAUUAUCUAGGUUUGCACCUGUACUAUUGCAAACAAGUGUAGUAAUAUGAUGGUACCUCAUCAUAGCAUUCAUUAAUUGUUUAUCAUCAUAACCCAAGUGUUCCAUAGUCCUUACUACGAGGACAGGGCUCAUGUCAAGUGCUCACUAUCUAGGAGUGAUGGCGAUUCGAAUCGAUUUCUGACCAGCUGGCGAGUUAUUCCCCACACAAACCACACUCACUGAUCAAGUGAGCUACAGAUCACCGUGUUACACUAUCCAAGACCAAAUCGCAGGUUCGGCAGGCACCGCCAGUACCCGAGGACCGUUCCAGCGACCGAGGUAUCCAAGGUAUACCAAGGUUGCGCGCCGCGCCCUCGUCGUUCUCCUCAACCAUCACCAAUACAGCGCAUGGCGGCUCAACUCCCGGCCCGGAUAGUGUUCAGGCUUCGCGGUCGGAAUGACUUAUCCUUCCAGCUAGGUGUGGGGCAUGCGUUCAACAUGACAAGAGGGCCGUCAACGAUCGGUCCUUAACCAACACAGGCAGGGGCACUACGGUCAACCCCACUAUAAGACCCUACCUGGUCUCAAUUUCCUUUCCACACUUGGUUAUUUUUCCCCAUAGCAAUUACAGCUAAUCAAACAGGUGUCCACCUAUAUCUCGUAGGUGACAGGGAAUCACACGACUUCUACCGGACUAAGCAAGCUAAGCAUAGACUUCGUGCCUAUCUACAUAGGACAAGGUAGAUAAACAAGUAGUGAUAUCAAGGAGUACAUAUGCAUCAACGGUAUCAAGUAAUUCCUAUCACUUCAAGACAUGCAACCACACCAAACUGUAGAUCUGAAAUUAUAGAUCACCUCAAAAUUUAUUUCAUCAAUUUUGGAGCCAUAUAUCUCAAGAUAUGGAUUUUAUAUCAUUUAAACUAUUUUUUGGAAAUUAUUUUCUGAAAAACCAAUUCAAAUCCACCCCCCAGACCAGCUAGGUGAACCCGAUGCAGUGCACCCGCGGCCACUGACGAGCGGACCCGCCUGCCAGCCGGGCCCGCUGGCCAGAACGCAGAGAGGGGAGAACUCCGGCGAGCCGGAGCUCACCGCCGGCGACCUCUUUCGACGAACCAAACGGCCCUACGCGUUCUACGGCUCAAGGUGAACUCGGCGAACCCUUUUGCGUGGCCUGAAACGGACCGGAGCAAGCUCGCCACCGGCCAUGGCGGAAUGGCGGCACUGCUCGCCACGGUCCGGCCACCUCGCGGCGGUAGAGCGUGCGCUAACGGCCGGAAUAGGUGCGCAAGGCUAAGGCGAAGCUAACGCGCCUAAAAACGCAAGAAAUGGCAGAGUAGAGAGGGAGAACCGCGUGGACCGAGGGGUCGCCGGAGUUCCGACUCACUCUGGUGAGCUUUACCGGACGCGCGAAACUCACCGAGCGCGGUUGAGCGCGAGCUCAAGGUGCGGAAGGAUGAGGCAGAGCCGAUGGUGGUCGCGGAGAGGAAGGGGGAGGCCGGAGCUGGCCGGGAGAGAAGCUCCAAGCCGUCGGCGACGAUGGCGCGCGGCGGAGCGGCAGCUGCUGCGCGCGAGCGAGAGAAGGCCGGAGGCGGACGCGGCUAGGCGCUCCUGGUGGCCGACCAGGGCGUGUCCAGGCUGCCGCAUGCUCGCCACGCGGCGGCCGAGCUCUGCCGGCGCGCCACGGCGGCACGACGCGGUCGUCCGUGCGCGGGCACGGCGCGAUCGCGGGGAAUGGUGAAAGGUCCUUGUUUGGUUUUGGUAAUUGAGUGACAACUUAGGUGGACUAAUAGUGUUUAUGUGAGAUACACAGGAGAUUAGUCCACAGGUGAUGAUGUGGUGAUGGAGGAGCUCAUUGCAUAUGAGACAUGACAUGGAGUCAUGUGACCAAGAUGGAGAAGAUCAAGAUGAGGCUUGGCUCGAUGGACCGGUUGCAAGAGUGAAGGGCAAGUUGGAGGCUUUGAGGCGAGGGACCGCGUGUGACGGUGAAGCUUGAGCAAGAUUUGGCGCCAAUGGACCGAGGCAACGUUGAAGAGCAAGUGAGGUCAAGAUUGAUGAACCAAUACGGUCACGUGAUGAUAUGAAGUGGAUCAUAUCAUUUGGUGGUUGCUUGGGGCAUGUGUUGCAUCAACAUUGAAGGAGAUGGAAUGGAAUGCGCAAGGCAAAGGUAUAACCUAGGGCAUUUCCAUUUCACCGGUCAUAGGUGUGUAGAGAAGUUUAUGACCGGAUUUAGGAUAGAUGGCCGUACUAUCAAGAGGGGCAAACUUGUUUGCAUAUCGGUCAUCUAGUGCCACUUGAGCGAUCUAACUUUGCAUACGUGUUAGGAUCGAGUGGCGUGGCAAGUUUGAGAGGCUAACUCCUUUGGGAAAAUGUUUGUGAAAAUGCUAACACUCGUGCACUUGUUGGUACACACUUUGUGGUGUUGGCACACCUUAAGGAGGUAGAAAUUUUCCUUUGUGCCGGUGGAAAGUCUCUUGUGCACUAGUGGAAAGUUUCCUGUAUGCCGGUGGAAAGUUUCUUGUUUACCGGUGGAAAAUUUCUUGUGCGCUAGUAGAAAGUUUCUUGUACACCGGUGGAAAGUUUCUUGUUUGCCAGUGAAAAGUUUCCUGUGCGCCAGUAGAAAGUUUCUGACUGAAAACUCACACCGGACGUUAGGCACCGGACGCUGCCUCGAAGCGUCCGGUGCGCUCUCGGUUGCUAGCUUAGGUGAGAAUUGUGCACCGGACGAUCAACACCGGACGCUGGCUGAACGUUGUUGGUGCGUCCGGUAUCCGUGAGCGUUUACGGUGUUCUCUGAGUAAGCGUCCGGUGCCGACCUGGUGCGUCCGGUGGUAGCGUCCGGUGAUCCUGCGUUUUGACAAACUCUCUGCGUAUGCGUCCGGUGCGCACAGGACGCGUCCGGUGGUGCUGUGGAGGCGCGCGUAGGCAGUAGCCGUUGGCGACAAUGGUCGAGUUCAAACGGCUAGUGACACGUGGCUGUUUCUGGAGCACCAGACGCACUGUUCCUGUUCCAGCGUGCGGUGGCUCCUGCAGUGAGUCCGGUGCCCCGGUUUUUGCCCAGUGAAGGGGCAACGGCUAGUUUAGCCCUUGGGGCUAUAAAUAGAAGUGGUGGCCGGCCUUGGCUGGUGCUGAGCACCCUUGGGACUUAGUGUCUAUGCUUGGAGAGUGCUAGUAAAGCCUCUAACUCACAUAUGCUUGAUAGUGAUUAUUCGAUUGUGUGAGUGAGCGAUUCUAGUGCGUUGCAUUGAGAGAUUGCAUCGAGUGGCACUAGGUGUUCGUGUUGCAAGCUAGUGGUGCUUGUUACUCUUGGAGGUUGCCACUGUUGACGGUCCUUAAUUACCAAAUAUAAUCAUCAAAUAAAUAAAGAAAAGGAUCCAAAUGCAACCAACUCCCAGACUUAGGGUUUUAUCUGACAGAAUUCCACGAGUUUUGGUGUUUGUCUAUUUUUGCAGGGGGGUUAUUAGGAAAUACGGAAGAAAGGCCCACAUGUUGGGAUUACAUAGAGAUAUCAACACACCGCGCAAUUUUCUACCAUCUAGAAGACUCCAGAAGCCACGGGAAGAAAGCAGAGGCCGAAAGGGGCCAGGCCAAGGGCGCCCGCCCUGAGGACCUAGGCACCCGCCCUCUGUUGGAUGCCAAUCACGACUCUCUUCGCACACGACGUUCCACCGACCUAAAGGAUCAAGGAUAACAUAGUACCACAUCACCUGCUGGACCAAAAACGCACAAAGGAGGAGGACUAUAUAAGCAAGGGCCCUGGCCCCUGGAGGAGAACAAGUUUAUCAUAGAGUUGAGGGGUGCCCUCGAAGGAAAACCUCUUAUCUAAAUAGAAUUUAUUUUUAGGCUUAGCAACCAAUGUAAGUAGAAAUAGAUCUUCUAGUUUCUACUAGAUUGAGAGAUAUAGAGUGGAGGUGUAGAUCGGAGGAAGGCCGGCCUGUCGGUGUCUACUCCGAGGUUGUACCUGUGGGAUCAAGUCUCCUAACCUGAGGCUUGCUCCUAAGAUUCUUCAGUAAUUCGACUUCUAAUUCUAGUAAGUUCUUGUUUUAUUGUUCUUUGGUUUAUGAGUUUACUUUAAUCCUCUUCCGGUUGAGUAUUAGAGUAAUCAUUGCUAGCGUAAACGUGGUGUUUAGGCUAGGGUACUCAUAGAUAUCCCCUGACUAGCUGGACUGUGGUAGUAGCGAGGAUCGUGACAUUUCUGAGUUACCUUUGUAUCCCAUAUCUUGUUAGCAGGACGGGUAGGGUUUAUAGGUGCGGGUCGAACAUCCUUUGUGGUGUCUAGAUUCCGUAAGCUUCCCCAAUAGAACAGUAGAUCAUCCUUGCCAUGGUUAGAACGAGACUACGGUUGCAGUCUUCUCUAUACACCGCUCACAUCGAGAAACAUUCUUUGUAGCCUAAAGGGAUAGUAGCAAUAGAUUUGGUUAGUCAGAUGCACCCUUUCUCCCAGUGGUAAAAAUAUAAAUACGAUACUCUAGAAAACCUCCCGGGUGAAAUGCUCACCGAUAUCCGUGCGCUUGCGGAUCAUUUCCUUAUUGCGUUACCAAAUAUCAACAAUCAUUUCUGGCGCCGUUGCCGGGGAGAAAGACAGUUUGCUGAGAUAACUUUGAGUCUUGCUAUUAUCUUGUAUUAUACUUUUAUACUUUUAUUCUUUUAUCUUUUUAUUUUUAUCUUUAUGGAUAACUCAAAUUCCAUACCUAUUAUUAAAUUCUUUGCACCUUCGGAGACCUGUCAUAGACCAUGGGAGUCAACACGUCCUACCCCUAAUUAUGAUCUGUGUCCGGAGUUGAUUGCAAUAGGUCAAAACCAACCCUUUUCUAUAGCUGAGGUCCUAUCUUUUAAUCAAGAAGAUAAUGCACUUUUAGCUACACCUAGGGAAUCUUUUAA
This 33702-nucleotide long non-coding RNA is filed under the name Sorghum bicolor (sorghum). RNAcentral describes it as "long non-coding RNA (SBIC_LNC008637)". The record is from RNAcentral. Lineage: Eukaryota; Viridiplantae; Streptophyta; Magnoliopsida; Poales; Poaceae.